This 725-nucleotide ribosomal RNA is filed under the name Megophrys microstoma (narrow-mouthed horned toad). Its description in RNAcentral is "partial 12S rRNA'". It matches the Rfam family "Bacterial small subunit ribosomal RNA", at positions 303 to 1398 of the family's 1533-position model. Lineage: Eukaryota; Metazoa; Chordata; Amphibia; Anura; Megophryidae. The record is from RNAcentral.
CAGGGGAAGAAGGAGCUGAUAUCAGGCUCUUUUUGCCCAUAACAUCUAGCUCCGCCACACCCCCAAGGGUAUUCAGCAGUGACAAACAUUGAAAAUUAGCGCAAGCUAAAUUCAGUUAUAGCUAAAAAAACCGGUUAAUCUCGUGCCAGCUACCGCGGUUAUACGGGUAGGUUUAAACUGAUAAUAUCGGCACAAAGCGUGGUUAACAUUUUUCCCCAAUAAAGCAAAAAAAAAGCCUAGCUGUGAAAUGCUUCCGCUUUUACUAAUUCCAACCACGAAAGUAGCUUUAACCCCUUUUGAACCCACGAUCGCUAGAACCCAAACUGGGAUUAGAUACCCCACUAUGCCUAGCCGUAAACUUUGACAUUUCCGCCUGGGAACUACGAGCAUAAGCUUAAAACCCAAAAGACUUGGCGGUGCCCUAUACCUUCUAGAGGAGCCUGUUCUAUAAUCGAUAACCCCCGAUAAACCUCACCUCUUCUUGCCUAUACCGUCUGUAUACCUCCGUCGUCAACUGACCCCUCAAGAGCUGUCAGUCAAAUGGGCUUUUCCAAUAAGUCAGGUCAAGGUGCAGCGAAUGAAGAGGAAAGAAAUGGGCUACAUUUUCUACCUGUAGAUUAUACGGAAAAUCAAAAUGAAAUCUGAUCGGAAGGCGGAUUUAGCAGUAAAAAGAGAUCAGAAAGCUCUUUUUAAAUAGGCCCUAGGGCGCGUACACACCGCCCGUC